UACGGAGGAUGCAAGCGUUAUCCGGAAUGAUUGGGCGUAAAGCGUCCGCAGGUGGCAAUGUAAGUCUGCUGUCAAAGCGUCUGGCUCAACCAGAUAAAGGCAGUGGAAACUACAUAGCUAGAGUAAGGUAGGGGUAGAGGGAAUUCCUGGUGUAGCGGUGAAAUGCGUAGAGAUCAGGAAGAACACCGGUGGCGAAGGCGGCUACCUGGACCGGUACUGACGCUGAGGCGCGAAAGCUAGGGUAGCAAACGGG
RNAcentral lists this ribosomal RNA (253 nucleotides) under uncultured bacterium. Its description in RNAcentral is "partial 16S ribosomal RNA". It matches the Rfam family "Bacterial small subunit ribosomal RNA", at positions 524 to 776 of the family's 1533-position model. The record is from RNAcentral.